CCUACGGGCGGCAGCAGUGGGGAAUAUUGGGCAAUGGGCGCAAGCCUGACCCAGCAACGCCGCGUGAAGGAAGAAGGCUUUCGGGUUGUAAACUUCUUUUGUCAGGGACGAAGCAAGUGACGGUACCUGACGAAUAAGCCACGGCUAACUACGUGCCAGCAGCCGCGGUAAUACGGAGGUGGCAAGCGUUAUCCGGAUUUACUGGGUGUAAAGGGCGUGUAGGCGGGGAAGCAAGUCAGAUGUGAAACCCACGGGCUCAACCUGUGGCCUGCAUUUGAGACUGUUUUUCUUGAGUGCAGGAGGGGCAAGCGGAAUUCCGUGUGUAGCGGUGAAAUGCGUAGAUAUACGGAGGAACACCAGUGGCGAAGGCGGAUUGCUGGACAGUAACUGACGCUGAGGCGCGAAAGCGUGGGGAGCAAACAGGAUUAGAUACCCUUGUAGUC
Molecule: ribosomal RNA, 443 nt
Filed under: uncultured bacterium
Lineage: Bacteria
Description: partial 16S ribosomal RNA
Rfam family: Bacterial small subunit ribosomal RNA
Source: RNAcentral